This 801-nucleotide long non-coding RNA is filed under the name Solanum tuberosum (potato). RNAcentral's name for it is "long non-coding RNA (STUB_LNC009302)". The record is from RNAcentral. Lineage: Eukaryota; Viridiplantae; Streptophyta; Magnoliopsida; Solanales; Solanaceae.
CCUGAACUCAUCAAAAUGCAAUAUUUUAAACACGUUUUUUACACUCAACUGUGUGUGUAUCACAAACGCCUGCCACGUAAUUUUAAAAAUAAUUAUAAAAUGACACGUAUGAUUAUAAAAUGACACAUGUAUAUAUGGUCACUCCAUGUCAUUUUUCCUUUUAUUAUAUUUGAUUAAUAUACCUACACUUUCUCUUUCCAAUUUUUAUUUCUCUUUGCCAUUGCCAUCUGCAUCUCCAUCCCCAUCUCAUUUCAACUUUUUCUUAUCUUCCUUACCCUUUUCCUUUUUCCAACCUCUUCUACUCUUUCCAUUGAAGUAAAAAAUGUUGGCACGAUUUCUGGUUGUUCACAAUCUCGUUGGAGUUCGGAGUUGAUUUUGGGUUAUGUUGGAUUGGGGUUUUGGUGGUGACCGGUGGCGCUAAGGAAAAGUGGGGGUCUAUUGAGUGGUCUGAUUGUUUCUAGUUGUUCACAACGGCGGCGUUGUGAAAGUCGAGCGUAGUUUGGUCGGAGAAGGUGAGGAGGACGAGAAGAAGGCAAUAAGUUUGGGUUUGGUUUGGAACUGAAACAAGGGGUCAAUGUCAAAAAUUAUUUGAGUUUUUUUGUUUGAUUUUCAACUUAUCUUGGUAGGUUUUUCAAUUUAUUUUCGAAUUUAUUUGUUAUUUAGUUUGGAUUUGAUCUCUAUUUGUGUCUUUGUUUGGUUUUGGGGUUUUAAUCAAUUACAUUGACUUUGUUGAAAUUCUUUGGGGAUUUUGCAUUUUUGUGCCUAAUGUUAGUGUAAGAUAUUUCGGUAGUAGUGUUAUGC